This 262-nucleotide unclassified non-coding RNA is filed under the name uncultured fungus. Its description in RNAcentral is "sequence contains ITS1, 5.8S rRNA gene". The stretch from base 214 to 262 matches the Rfam family "5.8S ribosomal RNA", at positions 1 to 49 of the family's 154-position model. The record is from RNAcentral. Lineage: Eukaryota; Fungi.
UUUCCGUAGGUGAACCUGCGGAAGGAUCAUUACCGAGUGCGGGUUCUAACGAGCCCAACCUCCCACCCGUGUUUACUGUUACCGCGUUGCUUCGGCGGGCCCACUGGGGCCUGGCCCCGGUCGCCGGGGGGCUUCUGCCCCCGGGUCCGCGCCCGCCGAAGCGCCCUGGAACCCUGUCUGAAUAGUGAGUCUGAGUGGAUAUUGAAUCAUUAAAACUUUCAACAACGGAUCUCUUGGUUCCGGCAUCGAUGAAGAACGCAGC